UUCCGGUUGAUCCUGCCGGACCCUACUGCUAUCGGGAUGGGACUAAGACAUGCUAGUCGUGCGCCUCCAAGCCAUGGUGGAGGCGCGGCGCACAGCUCAGUAACACGUGGUUAACCUGCCCUUGGGACGGAAACACCCCCGGGGAACUGGGGCUAAUUUCCGAUAGGUGAAGGCUCCUGGAAUGGAUCUUCGCCUAAAGGGCGCUUAGGCCAUGCUUCUAGGCGCUGCCCAAGGAUGGGGCCGCGGCCGAUCAGGUUGUUGGUGAGGUAAUGGCUCACCAAGCCUUUAACCGGUUCGGGCCGUGGGAGCGGGAGCCCGGAGAUGGGCACUGAGACAAGGGCCCAGGCCCUACGGGGCGCAGCAGUCGCGAAAACUCCGCAAUACGCGAAGGCGUGACGGGGCUAUCCCGAGUGCCGUCCGCUGAGGAUGGCUUUUCCCUAGUGUAGAUAGCUGGGGGAAUAAGGAGAGGGCAAGUCUGGUGUCAGCCGCCGCGGUAAUACCAGCUCUCCGAGUGGUGGGGACGUUUAUUGGGCCUGAAGCAUCCGUAGCCAGCUGAGCAAGUCCCCAGUUAAAUCCAGCGAUUUAAUCGUUGGACUGCUGGGGAUACUGUCCGGCUAGGGGGUGGGAGAGGCCGACGGUAUUCCCGGGGUAGGGGUGAAAUCCUAUAAUCCCGGGAGGACCACCAGUGGCGAAGGCUGUUGGCUAAAACAUGCCCGACGGUGAGGGAUGAAAGCUGGGGGAGCGAACCGGAUUAGAUACCCGGGUAGUCCCAGCUGUAAACGAUGCAGGCUAGGUGUUAGGGCGGCCACGUGCCGCUCUAGUGCCGCAGGGAAGCUGUUAAGCCUGCCGCCUGGGGAGUACGGCCGCAAGGCUGAAACUUAAAGGAAUUGGCGGGA
RNAcentral lists this ribosomal RNA (896 nucleotides) under uncultured archaeon. RNAcentral's name for it is "bacterial SSU rRNA". It matches the Rfam family "Archaeal small subunit ribosomal RNA", at positions 1 to 873 of the family's 1478-position model. The record is from RNAcentral.